CUUUUGGCUAAGAUCAAGUGUAGUAUCUGUUCUUAUCAGUUUAAUAUCUGAUAUGUGGGCCAUGUGUCCACAACGAUAUUAAAUUUAUUUUUUAUGGGGAAGGGUCCACCACACUAGCUUGCUAGUGGGGCCCUCGUGUGUCGCUUGGGCGUUGCACUACUGCCCAGGCCAGGCGCACCCCAACCAAUACAAAGGGGGUAUGGUCAAGGCACAUUUUAAGGGCAAGGACGACAAUUCUGUAGCUCAACAGAGCUGGUGCCCUGUGCUCUUGCAAGUUUUGGCUGCUGUAUGCUUCUGGGUUCAAGUAGUCAGGAUAGCGUGUCGACUCGCAGGGGCAAAAUAACUGAAUCUGAUAGAACAGAAUCAGCUAGUUGAUCGCCAGUUCAGUUUAGAAGUUGGUGCUGAGAAUUCUAAUUUUUUUGGGGGUGAUAAUUAUGAUGCUGUUAUGGUAUGCAUAUGUUCUUCAGUAUGUGUGGUGUGUGGCUGCACUAUGAUUUAUUUCCAGUUCUUCCACUGUCACUCAGUGAUCGGCGCAGGGUGCUUCAUAACAUACAUUUGUGCUCUGAUUGAGAGAAAGUAGGCGGGCUGGUUGGCGCUCUGUUUUAGCGCCCAAAGAUGAACAAGAGGACACAAGAUAGAACAACAACCUUGACCAGAGAACCUGUCUCUAUCUCAAAAAUGCAUAUGAAUCAAAGACAUUUUUUUCACACACACCUGAAAUCAGUUUCUUGUUCUAGGUGCAUCAUCAAGCAGAAGACAAGGAUGGUUUAACUUGUUAUCACUUGGGAAGCAUUAUCUAGAUUAGAUUCGCCUAUGAACAUGUCAGGUUGUCUUACUUCUGAGUAGAACCUGUCUCUCAUUUUCUAAAAAAUGGAACUAUCUAUCAAUAUAUGUGUGCUGCUUUAGUUGAUCUUCUGAAUAUUUGCAAGUGAUGGCUGUCGGUACUAUUCAAUUCAACAGGAUAGCACAGCAUCCCUAUGUAAAAAUGCAUUUUCCCAGUUGUACGAAUAUCUGCACUUCACAUUUAGCAUGAUAUGGUGGCUGGCUCUUUGUAA
Triticum aestivum (bread wheat) is the source of this 1055-nucleotide long non-coding RNA. RefSeq lists it as uncharacterized. The transcript has 2 exons. The record is from RefSeq and is a predicted model, not a curated record. NCBI's taxonomy places the organism in Eukaryota, Viridiplantae, Streptophyta, Magnoliopsida, Poales, Poaceae.